Molecule: ribosomal RNA, 351 nt
Filed under: uncultured bacterium
Lineage: Bacteria
Description: bacterial SSU rRNA
Rfam family: Bacterial small subunit ribosomal RNA
Source: RNAcentral
AGAGUUUGAUCAUGGCUCAGGAUGAACGCUAGCUACAGGCUUAACACAUGCAAGUCGAGGGGAAACGACAUCGAAAGCUUGCUUUUGAUGGGCGUCGACCGGCGCACGGGUGAGUAACGCGUAUCCAACCUGCCCACCACUUGGGGAUAACCUUGCGAAAGUAAGACUAAUACCCAAUGACGUCUCUAGAAGACAUCUGAAAGGGAUUAAAGAUUUAUCGGUGAUGGAUGGGGAUGCGUCUGAUUAGCUUGUUGGCGGGGUAACGCCACCAAGGCUACGAUCAGUAGGGGUUCUGAGAGGAACGGUCCCCACAUUGGAACUGAGACACGGUCCAAACUCCUACGAGAGGCA